Cyanistes caeruleus (blue tit) is the source of this 590-nucleotide long non-coding RNA. RefSeq lists it as uncharacterized. The record is from RefSeq and is a predicted model, not a curated record. NCBI's taxonomy places the organism in Eukaryota, Metazoa, Chordata, Aves, Passeriformes, Paridae.
AAGAAACAGUAUGUUCAGCUUUGUCUCAGGCAAGCUUUAGCCCUGCUUUUUAGCUACCCUUGAAAUACUGAGAACUCCAUUCUUUACAGUGAAUGCCUCUAAUUUCAACAACAACAACAACAUAGAAACUCUCUGUCUUUACUGCAGGUAAUAACCAAGGCAGGAAUGAAAACCACCACAAAUCAUCAGGAGCAUCUCCCUGUGUUACUCUCCAGUCUGCCAGCCUGGCCUGCUUUGUAUCAUCUCCAAAUCAUCACGCCACACAUGAGGAGCAUGGCAAUACUGGAUAAAACUGGUCCAAAAGUGUGUUUUUUAUUCCCAUGAACAUCUGUCUCAGCCAGAAGUCCUGGCUGUGGGUGUAAAGACCAUGUUGCAGAAGAGUCAGUCUCUCUGAAAUGCAAGAGAGAGAGGAUUUUAGAGGGAGUCACUUUCUGAUGUCUGAGCAUCUUGUGAGGAGGCUGCAUGUGAGCAGAGCAGGGCUGCAAUUAAGCCACACGUGCACAGGCAGUUAUAUCUCCAGAUCAGAUGGCUGCAUAGGAUUUAUCUGAAGGAUGCUCACCCAUCACCCAGACCCACACUUCAUUGUCAGC